UUGGAGGGCAAGUCUGGUGCCAGCAGCCGCGGUAAUUCCAGCUCCAAUAGCGUAUAUUAAAGUUGUUGCAGUUAAAAAGCUCGUAGUUGAAUUUCGGGGUUAGUAGGUUGGUCAUGCCUCUGGUAUGUACUGGUCUCACUGAUUCCUCCCUCUUGACGAACUGUAAUGUCAUUAAUUUGGUGUUGCAGGAAAUCAGGACUGUUACCUUGAAAAAAUUAGAGUGUUUAAAGCAGGCUUUAGCUUGAAUACAUUAGCAUGGAAUAAUGAAAUAGGACGUUUGAUCCUAUUUUGUUGGUUUCUAGGAUUGACGUAAUGAUUAAUAGGGAUAGUUGGGGGCAUUAGUAUUCAAUUGUCAGAGGUGAAAUUCUUGGAUUUAUUGAAGACUAACUACUGCGAAAGCAUUUGCCAAGGAUGUUUUCAUUAAUCAAGAACGAAAGUUAGGGGAUCGAAGACGAUCAGAUACCGUCGCAGUCUUGACCAUAAACUAUGCCGACUAGGGAUCGGAUGAUGUUAAUUUUUUAAUGACUCAUUCGCGCCUACGGAAAC
This 546-nucleotide ribosomal RNA is filed under the name uncultured Glomeromycotina. RNAcentral describes it as "SSU rRNA". It matches the Rfam family "Eukaryotic small subunit ribosomal RNA", at positions 548 to 1098 of the family's 1831-position model. Lineage: Eukaryota; Fungi; Glomeromycota. The record is from RNAcentral.